Molecule: ribosomal RNA, 506 nt
Filed under: uncultured bacterium
Lineage: Bacteria
Description: partial 16S ribosomal RNA
Rfam family: Bacterial small subunit ribosomal RNA
Source: RNAcentral
AGUGAACGCUGGCGGUAGGCCUAACACAUGCAAGUCGAACGGCAGCACAGGAGAGCUUGCUCUCUGGGUGGCGAGUGGCGGACGGGUGAGGAAUACAUCGGAAUCUACUUUUUUGUGGGGGAUAACGUAGGGAAACUUACGCUAAUACCGCAUACGACCUCAGGGUGAAAGCAGGGGAUCUUCGGACCUUGCUCGAUUGAAUGAGCCGAUGUCGGAUUAGCUAGUUGGCGGGGUAAAGGCCCACCAAGGUGACGAUCCGUAGCUGGCCGGAGAGGAUGAUCAGCCACACUGGAACUGAGACACGGUCCAGACUCCUACGAGAGGCAGCAGUGGGGAAUAUUGGACAAUGGGCGCAAGCCUGAUCCAGCCAUACCGCGUGGGUGAAGAAGGCCUUCGGGUUGUAAAGCCCUUUUGUUGGGAAAGAAAUCCAGCUGGUUAAUACCCGGUUGGGAUGACGGUACCCAAAGAAUAAGCACCGGCUAACUUCGUGCCAGCCGCCGCCGUAA